GGGGGGGGCCCGCUUUACAUGCAAGUCGAACGAUGAAGGAGGAGCUUGCUCCUCCGGAUUAGUGGCGAACGGGUGAGUAAUACGUGAGCAAUGUGCCCUUGACUCUGGGAUAAGCGCUGGAAACGGCGUCUAAUACCGGAUACGACCACCGGAGGCAUCUCCUGGUGGUGGAAAGAACUUCGGUCAAGGAUCAGCUCACGGCCUAUCAGCUAGUUGGUGAGGUAAUGGCUCACCAAGGCGACGACGGGUAGCCGGCCUGAGAGGGUGACCGGCCACACUGGGACUGAGACACGGCCCAGACUCCUACGGGAGGCAGCAGUGGGGAAUAUUGCACAAUGGGCGCAAGCCUGAUGCAGCAACGCCGCGUGAGGGACGAAGGCCUUCGGGUUGUAAACCUCUUUUAGCAGGGAAGAAGCGAGAGUGACGGUACCUGCAGAAAAAGCACCGGCUAACUACGUGCCAGCAGCCGCGGUAAUACGUAGGGUGCAAGCGUUGUCCGGAAUUAUUGGGCGUAAAGAGCUCGUAGGCGGUUUGUCACGUCUGCUGUGAAAACCCGAGGCUCAACCUCGGGCUUGCAGUGGGUACGGGCAGACUAGAGUGCGGUAGGGGAGAUUGGAAUUCCUGGUGUAGCGGUGGAAUGCGCAGAUAUCAGGAGGAACACCGAUGGCGAAGGCAGAUCUCUGGGCCGUAACUGACGCUGAGGAGCGAAAGCAUGGGGAGCAAACAGGCUUAGAUACCCUGGUAGUCCAUGCCGUAAACGUUGGGAACUAGAUGUGGGGACCAUUCCACGGUCUCCGUGU
This 800-nucleotide ribosomal RNA is filed under the name Agrococcus sp. JSM 2175004. Its description in RNAcentral is "bacterial SSU rRNA". It matches the Rfam family "Bacterial small subunit ribosomal RNA", at positions 35 to 846 of the family's 1533-position model. The record is from RNAcentral. Lineage: Bacteria; Bacillati; Actinomycetota; Actinomycetes; Micrococcales; Microbacteriaceae.